Molecule: long non-coding RNA, 629 nt
Filed under: Helianthus annuus (common sunflower)
Lineage: Eukaryota; Viridiplantae; Streptophyta; Magnoliopsida; Asterales; Asteraceae
Source: RNAcentral
AUAGAAAUAAUUUUCACCAUCUAGUGAAGCCCCUCCUUCAAUAGCAAUUAAGCCUUUGCAACCAGAUCACAAGAAGCACACGGAUGAUGAAGACUCUUGCUUAGUAGCAUCCUCGUAUCCAUACUUCUUAACCAUACUAAAACUAAGGACUAUGAUGUUCAAACCUACUUCUGAAUCAGCCUCGUUCAGGUGUGGUACACCUUUAUUCUUAGUUAUAAGAGAAGCUCAAGCACCAGAGGCGGAGAAAAUUAAAUAUGAUGCAAGAACUAUGGUAAAAUAUCAUCUUGUCUAUGGUUCUUAGCAAUAUGAUCAUAAGGUACUGUUUGUUUUCUUUACAAUUACAUAUUUAUGCCUAUUGGGACAGGUCAAAUGGGUUGAAAGUGACCAAAGUUAAUUAAAUGCUUACCUUAUAAAUUGCUUUGUUUAAAAAAUUAGAUUAGUUUCAGAUAGUAACGUUUUCGUAAUUAUAUCGUGUACAUACUGUUUAAAAGAUUGGAUUUUUUGAGGUCUCACGUUUGAUUCCAUCUCCGUUGAAUUUGGCACGAGUUUAUCCUCUCAUUACAGACUGGUAUACAUACUAUUUUCAGAAAGUACAGUAUUUGAAUUCUUAAAGUGAUUGGAAUGCAGUG